AGAGGUAAUACAUGAUAGAUAAAAGACAGGAGGUAAUACAUGAUAGAUAAAAGACAAGAGGUAAUACACGAUAGAUAAAAGACAGGAGGUAAUACGUGAUAGAUAAAAGACAAUAGACAGGAGGUAAUACAUGAUAGACAAUAGACAGGAGGUAAUACGUGAUAGAUAAAAGACAAUAGACAGGAGAUAAUAUAUGAUAGAUACAAGACAAUAGACAGGAGUUAAUACAUGAUAAAAGACACUAGAUAGGAGUAAUAUAUGAUAGAUAAUACAUGAUUUGAUCCAGAAGCUGAGUGGGAUUCCAGUAUUACAGUGAAAGGGUGGAAGUGACAGAGUACUCUCCUCUCCUCCACUGCAAUGCUGUUUCCUGCCUCAGGUACUCUGUCUAUCCCAUCUCUCCACUUCUGUCUUUCAUAGUGGCUUCACUGACUGAUGGCUUUCUCUCGUGUGUGUAUGUGUGUGUGUGUGUGUGUGUGUGUGUGUGUGUGUGUGUGUGUAUAUUUUUAACAUGAUUUUUUAAAUAUUAUUUUUUUCAGGUUCAAUGGAAGAUGAGGGUCACAUCAAGUCAAACUCCUCCAGCUCAUCGUCUCUGCACAGACAUAUGGACAGACAUCACACCCAGAGGGGUCAUCUCAACUUCUCACCCUUCGGUGCAGGGGCUGCGCUCUAAGGCAGGGAGGCGCUGGGAGCACCCCUCACGUUUAGGGACGAGGUGAUCCAACAUCUGCGUGGGUGUGGAGGAAACGCGGGUGCUGACCUGGGGGAGGGGCGGGCCGACUGGAGGACCCAACGGGACACCAACGGAACACUACGAAACCCGGACACUACGCUGGUCUGGGCCAAUAGGAGGUCCUCUCUAUAGUGGGAGGAUGACCGACCGACCACCCCUCUCCUCUCCUCACACAUCCUCUCAUGUCUACACCCUGCCUCCUGCCCCUCCCUCCUGCCCAGGUCUGCCACCCCAUUGGGCAAAGGACAGGUCCAUCAGAGAGUGAGACAAUGCAUAAGAUAAGACAAUCCAACCGACAAGAGCAUUUACAAAGAAAGGAGGGAGAAAUGGAA
This 1062-nucleotide long non-coding RNA is filed under the name Oncorhynchus mykiss (rainbow trout). RNAcentral describes it as "lncRNA (ENSOMYG00000061020.1)". Lineage: Eukaryota; Metazoa; Chordata; Actinopteri; Salmoniformes; Salmonidae. The record is from RNAcentral.